UGGGGAAUAUUGGACAAUGGGCGAAAGCCUGAUCCAGCCAUGCCGCGUGUGUGAAGAAGGCCUUUUGGUUGUAAAGCACUUUAAGUGGGGAGGAAAAGCUUAUGGUUAAUACCCAUAAGCCCUGACGUUACCCACAGAAUAAGCACCGGCUAACUCUGUGCCAGCAGCCGCGGUAAUACAGAGGGUGCAAGCGUUAAUCGGAAUUACUGGGCGUAAAGCGCGCGUAGGUGGUUAUUUAAGUCAGAUGUGAAAGCCCCGGGCUUAACCUGGGAACUGCAUCUGAUACUGGAUAACUAGAGUAGGUGAGAGGGGAGUAGAAUUCCAGGUGUAGCGGUGAAAUGCGUAGAGAUCUGGAGGAAUACCGAUGGCGAAGGCAGCUCCCUGGCAUCAUACUGACACUGAGGUGCGAAAGCGUGGGUAGCAAACAGGAUUAGAUACCCUGGUAGUCCACGCCGUAAACGAUGUCUACCAGUCGUUGGGUCUUUUAAAGACUUAGUGACGCAGUUAACGCAAUAAGUAGACCGCCUGGGGAGUAUGGUUGCAAAGCUG
This 549-nucleotide ribosomal RNA is filed under the name uncultured bacterium. Its description in RNAcentral is "bacterial SSU rRNA". It matches the Rfam family "Bacterial small subunit ribosomal RNA", at positions 355 to 896 of the family's 1533-position model. The record is from RNAcentral.